Carassius gibelio (silver crucian carp) is the source of this 363-nucleotide long non-coding RNA. RefSeq lists it as uncharacterized. The record is from RefSeq and is a predicted model, not a curated record. The transcript has 3 exons. Lineage: Eukaryota; Metazoa; Chordata; Actinopteri; Cypriniformes; Cyprinidae.
GGUCAUCCUGACCAUUCUGCUGUUCUGGAUGUAAGGCCGUGCUGGAACUACAUUUCUCGUGGUUGAAAGAUUUGUGCAGCGAUUUGAGGGAAAGAUUAAAAACAAGGAGGUCUGGGAAUGACUGAAGGGAUCUGACAGCAGUGAGGGAAGGAAGUUAUCACCAGAAUCUCAGAGGAUGUUGACAGUGCAGGUCCAGGAUGAAGAGGAGGAGGAAGAACACGUUUAACAAUUUUCUCAUAAGCUUGCCAUGUGUUAUAAUAAAAACAAUGAACAUGGCUACAAUAAUAUGCUAAAUGUUAUUAAAAGAUUCCAGUUUGCAAGAAGUCUGAGUGUCUGACUCUACACUAGAGGAACUCUUUUCUG